AAAUUGAAGAGUUUGAUCAUGGCUCAGAUUGAACGCUGGCGGCAGGCCUAACACAUGCAAGUCGAACGGUAGCACAGAGAGCUUGCUCUCGGGUGACGAGUGGCGGACGGGUGAGUAAUGUCUGGGAAACUGCCUGAUGGAGGGGGAUAACUACUGGAAACGGUAGCUAAUACCGCAUAACGUCGCAAGACCAAAGAGGGGGACCUUCGGGCCUCUUGCCAUCAGAUGUGCCCAGAUGGGAUUAGCUAGUAGGUGGGGUAACGGCUCACCUAGGCGACGAUCCCUAGCUGGUCUGAGAGGAUGACCAGCCACACUGGAACUGAGACACGGUCCAGACUCCUACGGGAGGCAGCAGUGGGGAAUAUUGCACAAUGGGCGCAAGCCUGAUGCAGCCAUGCCGCGUGUAUGAAGAAGGCCUUCGGGUUGUAAAGUACUUUCAGCGGGGAGGAAGGUGUUGUGGUUAAUAACCGCAGCAAUUGACGUUACCCGCAGAAGAAGCACCGGCUAACUCCGUGCCAGCAGCCGCGGUAAUACGGAGGGUGCAAGCGUUAAUCGGAAUUACUGGGCGUAAAGCGCACGCAGGCGGUCUGUCAAGUCGGAUGUGAAAUCCCCGGGCUCAACCUGGGAACUGCAUUCGAAACUGGCAGGCUAGAGUCUUGUAGAGGGGGGUAGAAUUCCAGGUGUAGCGGUGAAAUGCGUAGAGAUCUGGAGGAAUACCGGUGGCGAAGGCGGCCCCCUGGACAAAGACUGACGCUCAGGUGCGAAAGCGUGGGGAGCAAACAGGAUUAGAUACCCUGGUAGUCCACGCCGUAAACGAUGUCGACUUGGAGGUUGUGCCCUUGAGGCGUGGCUUCCGGAGCUAACGCGUUAAGUCGACCGCCUGGGGAGUACGGCCGCAAGGUUAAAACUCAAAUGAAUUGACGGGGGCCCGCACAAGCGGUGGAGCAUGUGGUUUAAUUCGAUGCAACGCGAAGAACCUUACCUACUCUUGACAUCCAGAGAACUUAGCAGAGAUGCUUUGGUGCCUUCGGGAACUCUGAGACAGGUGCUGCAUGGCUGUCGUCAGCUCGUGUUGUGAAAUGUUGGGUUAAGUCCCGCAACGAGCGCAACCCUUAUCCUUUGUUGCCAGCGGUCCGGCCGGGAACUCAAAGGAGACUGCCAGUGAUAAACUGGAGGAAGGUGGGGAUGACGUCAAGUCAUCAUGGCCCUUACGAGUAGGGCUACACACGUGCUACAAUGGCGCAUACAAAGAGAAGCAAACUCGCGAGAGCAAGCGGACCUCAUAAAGUGCGUCGUAGUCCGGAUUGGAGUCUGCAACUCGACUCCAUGAAGUCGGAAUCGCUAGUAAUCGUAGAUCAGAAUGCUACGGUGAAUACGUUCCCGGGCCUUGUACACACCGCCCGUCACACCAUGGGAGUGGGUUGCAAAAGAAGUAGGUAGCUUAACCUUCGGGAGGGCGCUUACCACUUUGUGAUUCAUGACUGGGGUGAAGUCGUAACAAGGUAACCGUAGGGGAACCUGCGGUUGGAUCACCUCCUUACCUUAAAGAA
Molecule: ribosomal RNA, 1550 nt
Filed under: Enterobacter cloacae complex sp. FDA-CDC-AR_0132
Lineage: Bacteria; Pseudomonadati; Pseudomonadota; Gammaproteobacteria; Enterobacterales; Enterobacteriaceae
Description: bacterial SSU rRNA
Rfam family: Bacterial small subunit ribosomal RNA
Source: RNAcentral